UACGUAGGGUGCAAGCGUUGUCCGGAAUUAUUGGGCGUAAAGAGCUCGUAGGCGGUUUGUCGCGUCUGCUGUGAAAACUCGGGGCUUAACCCCGGGCCUGCAGUGGGUACGGGCAGACUAGAGUGCGGUAGGGGAGACUGGAAUUCAUGGUGUAGCAGUGAAAUGCGUAGAGAUCAUGAGGAAGACCAGUGGCGAAGGCGGGUCUCUGGACAGUUCCUGACACUGAGGCACGAAGGCCAGGGGAGCAAACGGG
This 253-nucleotide ribosomal RNA is filed under the name uncultured bacterium. Its description in RNAcentral is "partial 16S ribosomal RNA". It matches the Rfam family "Bacterial small subunit ribosomal RNA", at positions 524 to 776 of the family's 1533-position model. The record is from RNAcentral.